Molecule: ribosomal RNA, 253 nt
Filed under: uncultured bacterium
Lineage: Bacteria
Description: partial 16S ribosomal RNA
Rfam family: Bacterial small subunit ribosomal RNA
Source: RNAcentral
UACAGAGGGUGCGAGCGUUAAUCGGAAUUACUGGGCGUAAAGCGUGCGUAGACGGUAGCGUAAGUCAGGUGUGAAAGCCCUGGGCUCAACCCAGGAAGUGCACUUGAAACUGACAGGCUUGAGUAUGGAAGAGGGUCGCGGAAUUCCCGGUGUAGAGGUGAAAUUCGUAGAUAUUCGGAAGAACACCAGUGGCGAAGGCGACUUACUGGGCACAUAUUGACGCUGAGGUGCGAAAGCGUGGGGAGCAAACAGG